CUUCAGAAUCCAUUUUUAAGUGAUACACUUUACUUUACAGUACAGAUUGAUCCACGCUGAUAUAACCAGUGGCUGAUCUGGCAAACUCUCUCUCUCUCUCUCUAUCUGUCACCCUCUCUCUCUCACCUUCAGAAUCCAUUCUUAAGUGAUACAUUUACUUUACAGUACAGAUUGAUCCACGCUGAAUUAUAAUCAGUGGCUAAUCUGGCAAACUCUCUCUCUCUUUCUAUCUGUCACCCUCUCUCUCUCUCUCACCUUCAGAAUCCAUUCUUAAGUGAUACACUUUACUUUACAGUACAGAUUGAUCCACGCUGAUAUAACCAGUGGCCAAUCUGGCAAACUCUUUCUCUUUCUAUCUGUUACCCUCUCUCUCUCUCACCUUCAGAAUCCAUUCUUAAGGUGGCUCGUGGGUACAAAAAUUUUAGCAAAAAAUUCUAUUUUUCAUUACAAAUUUUAUUUAUACACUAUAGUUUUACUUUAUGAUAUGGUACAAAAAACAACCCAAACAAUGAUUUGGUUUGGCCCCAGAUGACUUUAAAAAUUGAAAAAGCUCCAAAUUAUCUCCCUUUGGUGCAAAAAUGCCAUUUUUGCCUUAAAUUUGAAAUAUCUUUUAACUCAUCGGUGACCAUAUUUUUUUUAUUGUUUUCAAAUAAGCUGACAUAAACUAAAUAAUUGUAAAAUUUAAGCGAUUUCUUAUAUUAGGUUAUUUUUUUAUUUCGAUAUUUCCUCUUUUUCUCCUAUUAGUUCAACAGAAAAAAAGGACAUUAACAAAAAUGUAUGUUUCUUCCAGAGGCAGAUUUUAGCUUAAAUGAACGGUAACCCCAUUUUUUUAUUUCAUUUUUCUUUUAAGUAUAUGAUAAAGUUCAUUCAUGAAAAAAUAUAGCGAAAUCCUAUAUUAGAAAAAAAAAAUUAUUUAUACCCAGGAGCCCCCUUAAGGGGAAUACUUUACUGUACAAUAUACAUGGAUACACGCUGAUAUAACCAGUGGCAAAUAUGUCAAACCAAAAUAUAUAUAUAUAUAUAUUUUAUCUUUUGUCUAUCUCAACUGUUACAUUAAUUUAAUAUUUUUCUCUCCUCCCCCUUUCUCUCUCUCUCAAUCAAUCAAUCAAUUAAUCAAUCAAUCAACAUGUUGAAAUCGGAUAUUUUGAGUUAAAUAUUAAUU
Molecule: long non-coding RNA, 1162 nt
Filed under: Mytilus galloprovincialis (Mediterranean mussel)
Lineage: Eukaryota; Metazoa; Mollusca; Bivalvia; Mytilida; Mytilidae
Source: RNAcentral